UACGUAGGGGGCAAGCGUUGUCCGGAUUUAUUGGGCGUAAAGAGCGUAUAGGCGGUUCGGUAGGUCCGUUGUGAAAACUCGAGCUCAACCUCGAGACGCCGAUGGAAACCCUCGAACUAGAGUCCGGAAGAGGAGAGUGGAAUUCCUGGUGGUAGCGGUGAAAUGCGCAGAUAUCAGGAAGAACACCCGUGGCUAAGGCGGCUCUCUAGUACGGUACUGACGCUGAGACGCGAAAGCGUGGGGAGCGAACAGG
This 253-nucleotide ribosomal RNA is filed under the name uncultured bacterium. Its description in RNAcentral is "partial 16S ribosomal RNA". It matches the Rfam family "Bacterial small subunit ribosomal RNA", at positions 524 to 776 of the family's 1533-position model. The record is from RNAcentral.